AUUGAACGCUGGCGGCAUGCCUUACACAUGCAAGUCGAACGGCAGCGCGGACUUCGGUCUGGCGGCGAGUGGCGAACGGGUGAGUAAUACAUCGGAACGUACCCUGUUGUGGGGGAUAACUAGUCGAAAGAUUAGCUAAUACCGCAUACGACCUGAGGGUGAAAGUGGGGGACCGCAAGGCCUCACGCAGCAGGAGCGGCCGAUGUCUGAUUAGCUAGUUGGUGGGGUAAAGGCCCACCAAGGCGACGAUCAGUAGCUGGUCUGAGAGGACGAUCAGCCACACUGGGACUGAGACACGGCCCAGACUCCUACGGGAGGCAGCAGUGGGGAAUUUUGGACAAUGGGGGCAACCCUGAUCCAGCAACGCCGCGUGUGUGAAGAAGGCCUUCGGGUUGUAAAGCACUUUUGUCCGGAAAGAAAUCGCGCUGGUUAAUACCUGGCGUGGAUGACGGUACCGGAAGAAUAAGCACCGGCUAACUACGUG
This 484-nucleotide ribosomal RNA is filed under the name uncultured bacterium. RNAcentral describes it as "partial 16S ribosomal RNA". It matches the Rfam family "Bacterial small subunit ribosomal RNA", at positions 30 to 507 of the family's 1533-position model. The record is from RNAcentral.